This 212-nucleotide unclassified non-coding RNA is filed under the name Hevea brasiliensis (rubber tree). The record is from RNAcentral. Lineage: Eukaryota; Viridiplantae; Streptophyta; Magnoliopsida; Malpighiales; Euphorbiaceae.
AUGAGUGCAUAAUUAAAAUCAAAUAUUACAAAGGGAAUCAGAAUAAGGUAAUUAAUUAGCAUUUAUCAACCCAAUUUUUCUCUUAAAAACAUGCAAAAUUAUCAACGGUCCAAAACUUGGAAAUCAACAAAGAAAUUAGAAAAAUUGGGCUGAUAAAUGUCAAAUGAAAACAAUCCGACGGAAAUUUAAAAGAAAUAAUAAUAAUAAUAAUA